Molecule: long non-coding RNA, 291 nt
Filed under: Felis catus (domestic cat)
Lineage: Eukaryota; Metazoa; Chordata; Mammalia; Carnivora; Felidae
Description: lncRNA (ENSFCAG00000048477.1)
Source: RNAcentral
ACCUCUGUUGUGAUUCCACCUACCCCCCAGACAGGGGCAAUCCAGGAUAAAGAGAAGACGGUGCCAGAGUCAUGCCAGCCGGGAUUGUUCUCUCGCCCCGGAUUCACUACAGAACUAAGAGUCCCCCAUGCUGGUCCUCUCAGGCCAUCUGGAGUUGGGAAAAGCAGACGGAAGCAAGGCCAGGCCCCCUGUCGACGAGAUGCUCUGGGAUAUAGCAGAAACAAAGAGAGGAGGGCACGGAGGCUGGUGCUGCCUCAGGCUGCCUCCACGGUACAGGAAGAAGGCAAGGAG